GCAGGAAGACCUCGUUAACUACCUAUUUUAAUCCACAGAAAGCAGGAUCUUUAACAUCAUGAAACUGCACAAACUAUAAGCAUUACAGUUUGAAUCAUGACUAAGCGCUGACAAAUCCCAUCCUCCAGCUCCACAAUUUUAUCAUACACCAGUUCCUGCAAUUGAAAUCUAAACCAGCAAAAGUAGUGCAUACGCUAGAAACCAAAGCAAAGAUAUUCAAUGUAGAGCUGUACAGGUUACUAAGUUGAAUCAAAUAAAAUCUAACAAUCAACUAUGAACUAUUCACAAAAUUAUUACAGCAAAAGGUACAAUAAACUAAUUAAAGUGCACAUUUCCCCCGUUAGAGUGGUGAGAGUACAUCUAAUGCGUUAGUUCCUUUAUCCAUCAAAUCAAGCUGCAC
RNAcentral lists this long non-coding RNA (400 nucleotides) under Panax ginseng (ginseng). RNAcentral's name for it is "long non-coding RNA (PGIN_LNC009465)". The record is from RNAcentral. Lineage: Eukaryota; Viridiplantae; Streptophyta; Magnoliopsida; Apiales; Araliaceae.